Molecule: long non-coding RNA, 147 nt
Organism: Perognathus longimembris pacificus (Pacific pocket mouse)
Lineage: Eukaryota; Metazoa; Chordata; Mammalia; Rodentia; Heteromyidae
Exons: 4
Source: RefSeq, a predicted model, not a curated record
UGUUUAUCUGGGUCUGGUUCACAUCACUUAAUACGAUUUUUUCCAAGUCUUUCCAUUUCUUUAUGAAUGGGGAAAUGCCAUUCUGUCUGAUGGAAGCAUAGAAUUCCAUUGUGUGUGUAUAACACAUUUUCUUGCUCCAUUUUCUAC